This 497-nucleotide ribosomal RNA is filed under the name uncultured bacterium. RNAcentral describes it as "partial 16S ribosomal RNA". It matches the Rfam family "Bacterial small subunit ribosomal RNA", at positions 36 to 507 of the family's 1533-position model. The record is from RNAcentral.
UCUUCCCUCUGGCGGCGUGCCUAAUACAUGCAAGUCGAGCGAACAGAUGAGGAGCUUGCUCCUCUGACGUUAGCGGCGGACGGGUGAGUAACACGUGGAUAACCUACCUAUAAGACUGGGAUAACUUCGGGAAACCGGAGCUAAUACCGGAUAAUAUAUUGAACCGCAUGGUUCAAUAGUGAAAGACGGUUUUGCUGUCACUUAUAGAUGGAUCCGCGCCGCAUUAGCUAGUUGGUAAGGUAACGGCUUACCAAGGCAACGAUGCGUAGCCGACCUGAGAGGGUGACCGGCCACACUGGAACUGAGACACGGUCCAGACUCCUACGGGAGGCAGCAGUAGGGAAUCUUCCGCAAUGGGCGAAAGCCUGACGGAGCAACGCCGCGUGAGUGAUGAAGGUCUUCGGAUCGUAAAACUCUGUUAUUAGGGAAGAACAAAUGUGUAAGUAACUAUGCACGUCUUGACGGUACCUAAUCAGAAAGCCACGGCUAACUACGUG